CACGUCUAAUUUCUGAAGAUUCACAAGCACUGUUUUUUCCACAGGUGCCGCCUGCGAGCAGUUGCCGUGGCGGCCGCCAGCCCGCCAGACGCGGAGCUCCCAUGAGCCCAGGAGGUCGGCGUAGGAGCAGUUGGCCGGCGUGUCGGCCCGCAGCCCCGCGGGCAGCAUCGCCAGCACCGCCACCACGGCCCACAGCGCACAACCCGCCAUGACACCGAGCCGCCCCCCGCCGCUGCCGCCGCUGAAAUAGGCCCUGCGGCCUCGCCACCUCCACGCCCCCGGGCCUGGGCCUGGGCCCGCCCCGGAGCGAUGGCGCUGCGCCGGGAGGGGCCGGGUCUUUGUGCCUGCCCCCUGCGGGGGUCUGGGCCGCGCUGGGCUGUGGGUGCGGUCCGCCCUGCAAAGCG
Molecule: long non-coding RNA, 404 nt
Filed under: Gallus gallus (chicken)
Lineage: Eukaryota; Metazoa; Chordata; Aves; Galliformes; Phasianidae
Source: RNAcentral